Larimichthys crocea (large yellow croaker) is the source of this 1105-nucleotide RNA transcript. RefSeq lists it as uncharacterized. The transcript is spliced from 4 exons. The record is from RefSeq and is a predicted model, not a curated record. Lineage: Eukaryota; Metazoa; Chordata; Actinopteri; Sciaenidae.
AAAAGACAAGUUUCUGGGACAACAACACUGGACUCUUUACAAUCACAGGACUGCAGAGGGACGACUCUGGAAUUUAUACUGUAGACUCUAAAAAAGGAAGAGUUUUUACUACAUCAUAUAAACUCACAGUGUAUGAGUCUGUCCCAGCUCCUGCAGUGAACAGUGUGAGUGUGAGUGCUGAGAGCUGCACCCUGCUGUGUUCUGUGGAGAAAGCUGGAGAGCUGCUGACACUGUCGUGGUACAAAGACGAGGAGAUAGUGAUCCAGAACAGCUCCGCUCUCUCUCUGCUCUCACUGUACACAAGCAGGAUUUCAGCUCCUCGUACAGAUGUGUGGCUGCAAACCCUGCUGAACAAAAGACUGUUACAGUCGAUGUUAAGACAUCCUGCAGUGAACAAACCAGCACAGACAACAGAAGUGACAGUAACAUAAAGUUCUGGUUGUUCCGGAUUCCCAUGGUUGUGUUUGGGACUGCUGUCAUUGUUUGCAUCAUUUUGACAGCUGUGAAGAAAAAGAGACAGGACAGACAGAGACCGAGAGAGACAUCAGCUCCACAGUGACGUGCCACCGUCAGAGUGAAGCUGUUUGGUCCACUUCCACAUACUGUGUGGUCGGUCAAACCAAUCAUCUUCCAGGAGACACAGAGUGAAGUUAAACUGGUCAAAAAUUCCUCUGAUAUUUCUUCAUACAGUCUGAGCUGGAAAAUAACCCACAGUAUGUUUUUAGUCUGUCUGUAUGUUGCUUUGUGUCUGCUCACUGUGUAAAUCUGUAGUGUACUUUUGCUACAUCUGCAUUGUUUGGUGUGUUUUACAGCUUGUUAUGGAGAUUUUUAUUUUUGGCUCCAAAUAAAAGAAGACAUCUGUAAAUGCAGCUUAAUCAUUUAUUUGUCAUGUUGAUGUCUAAACAUCACUGAUCAUCAAAAAAGUGAACAAUUCUCACGGCAAAGAUGAAUUUCUGAUUAUCUUAAAAAUGAAUUUUGGUCUGAAUAAAAACAUGUUACAGUGUUAGGAAGCUGUGUUAAUGGCUUCCAGUUGAUCCACAGCACGUUACUGAUGGUGUAGGUCACCUGUCAGUGCAACACCUUUGUGAUACAAAUACAGCAGUCU